UAGAUACCCUGGUAGUCCACGCCCUAAACGAUGCGAACUGGAUGUUGGGGACACUUAGGUCUUCAGUAUCGAAGCUAACGCGUUAAGUUCGCCGCCUGGGAAGUACGGUCGCAAGACUGAAACUCAAAGGAAUUGACGGGGGCCCGCACAAGCGGUGGAGUAUGUGGUUUAAUUCGAUGCAACGCGCAGAACCUUACCUGGCCUUGACAUCCACGGAACUUUCCAGAGAUGGAUUGGUGCCUUCGGGAAC
RNAcentral lists this ribosomal RNA (250 nucleotides) under uncultured bacterium. RNAcentral's name for it is "partial 16S ribosomal RNA". It matches the Rfam family "Bacterial small subunit ribosomal RNA", at positions 779 to 1027 of the family's 1533-position model. The record is from RNAcentral.